This 1496-nucleotide unclassified non-coding RNA is filed under the name Hevea brasiliensis (rubber tree). Lineage: Eukaryota; Viridiplantae; Streptophyta; Magnoliopsida; Malpighiales; Euphorbiaceae. The record is from RNAcentral.
GCUGGAGGGGAGAAAGCAUAUUCCUUAAGCAAGGGUCGGAGAUAGAAACUCCCUGGAAAUAAGUCCCCAAAUACAAAAAUCCCACCAACACCUGAUACUGUAUUGUUCCUGUAACCAUCUUCUCCACUUAAUGAUAAGAGAACUGAUGGAAAAGGCUCGUUGGCGUCUUCUCUAGAAUAUAUACGCACUGAAAUUUGGCCCAGCUUCUGACAAGAAAAGGAAUGAGGUCCAGCUUGCUUUACAUGGUAACCCGGCUUUGAAGCUUCAACAGUAUAACUUAUAUCAUCAUAUAGAGGCCCUGCGACAUAUAAGCCAUCGGUCCCUGUGGUAGUUUGAAGUGCUAAAUCGCCUUGCUUAAGUGGAGCACUUUGGCUGUCUCCUGUAGCAAUUAUUUUGACAACAACAUCAUUGAGAGGGGGAGAAACUGAUCCUUCUAUAUACAUCCCAAGUCGACCAGCAAAAGGAGGAAUUGAAGAUUGGCAGCCAUCUUCCAUCACAGCAACAUGCUGCUGUGUGGGAUAAAAUAAUAUUUUUUUCCCGCCAUCAUCCCGUGCAUCUCGAGGAAUAAAAGUAAAUUUUCCUCCCGGACUAGCCCACAUGGAAAAUUCGUAGAUGGCUGCACUCGAUUGAUCAACUCCGUAAGGCACACGUCUUGCCAAUAGACCAUCAACAACAGAACCUUCACUGUCCAAAAUGUCCAACGGUAUAUUCUCAGGCAAGCCCUCAACGCUACUAAACGAGCUUGAUUCAACAUGGACAUGACCCUUCAAAAGAUAGCUCUCGCCUUUCAAAUAGAUAGGAGAAAGGUUAGAUGUGUCAAUGAUCACAGAUGAACUCCCAAAAGAAAUACAUGAAUUUGGAAAGCUCAGCUCAUGCACUCCCGGAGAUUCUACGCACACGUGUUGAGAACCCUUCUUGAUGUUCAAGUUCAUUCCAGAACCAUCUGAUUGAGUCAGUAAGCCCUCCACAUCAUGGCUUGAGACUAUGUUGACCCAGAAACCUUUUUGAACAAAAUCUACCCCUUUAACAUCCUCAGCGCCAACUUCUAAAUCAAUAAAACUCUGCUCCCAGCACCAUUUAUCUUGUCCUGAUGAUGCUAUUGGAUAAUUGUUUUUUACCUCAACCCUGUAUUUACCAGGGAGAACAUUUGAGAAGAAAAAUUCAUUACUCUCAUUUGCCAAACCAAUUGUCUUCUUAUCGUCUUUAUUUCUCCCAUCCAGGCGCAGAAGAGUCAAAGAAACUGAAGAACCACAUUUCUCCUUACAAACAACGGAGCCAUGUAUACUUACUUGUGCCUGAUAGAACUUGACAUCCAAUAUCGGACUCCUGACUGAAACAUCAAUAUGAGAAGGAGAAAAUAGAAGUUCUUUAGCGUUCUCAAGUUUUGCUGGGAUUGCAGAUAAGCGAUAAUCACCAGGAGGAACCUCAAAGCAAAAAUGGCCACUCUCAUCAGUAAGUUUCACUUGAGGUUUGACGUUUUGUGGGCCAUGAGUCAG